This 497-nucleotide ribosomal RNA is filed under the name uncultured bacterium. RNAcentral's name for it is "partial 16S ribosomal RNA". It matches the Rfam family "Bacterial small subunit ribosomal RNA", at positions 28 to 507 of the family's 1533-position model. The record is from RNAcentral.
GAUGAACGCUGGCGGCGUGCCUAAUACAUGCAAGUCGAGCGAACGGACGAGAAGCUUGCUUCUCUGAUGUUAGCGGCGGACGGGUGAGUAACACGUGGAUAACCUACCUAUAAGACUGGGAUAACUUCGGGAAACCGGAGCUAAUACCGGAUAAUAUUUUGAACCGCAUGGUUCAAAAGUGAAAGACGGUCUUGCUGUAACUUAUAGAUGGAUCCGCGCUGCAUUAGCUAGUUGGUAAGGUAACGGCUUACCAAGGCAACGAUGCAUAGCCGACCUGAGAGGGUGAUCGGCCACACUGGAACUGAGACACGGUCCAGACUCCUACGGGAGGCAGCAGUAGGGAAUCCUCCGCAAUGGGCGAAAGCCUGACGGAGCAACGCCGCGUGAGUGAUGAAGGUCUUCGGAUCGUAAAACUCUGUUAUUAGGGAAGAACAUAUGUGUAAGUAACUGUGCACAUCUUGACGGUACCUAAUCAGAAAGCCACGGCUAACUACGUG